UUUUUUUUGUUCUGCUCAUCACAGUCCUUGUUUUCAUCGUGUACAAGAUUACAGUUGACGAAAGCAAUCAAAAGAAAGACUUGGAGACUUUGAAGUACUCCCCCAUCGCUGCACUGGUUCUUGCUCUCAUCCUUUGUUGUUUAACUGGAGUUCACUUUUAUAAAACAAAUACUGGUAAGCAAACAAAACAUUUAACUCAAAUCUUCACAUUAUAUACAUUAUAUAAAUACAACCUCAGGUCAGUGCAAAAAUUAAAAAGAGACCUCAAAAUAAUACAGAGGAAACCCCUAAAAUCUGUCGACAACCUAUGAAUAAGCAUUUGGUGGCAUUGGGAAGAAAAA
This is a long non-coding RNA of Oreochromis aureus, 341 nucleotides long. RefSeq lists it as uncharacterized. NCBI's taxonomy places the organism in Eukaryota, Metazoa, Chordata, Actinopteri, Cichliformes, Cichlidae. The record is from RefSeq and is a predicted model, not a curated record. The transcript has 3 exons.